RNAcentral lists this ribosomal RNA (253 nucleotides) under uncultured bacterium. RNAcentral describes it as "partial 16S ribosomal RNA". It matches the Rfam family "Bacterial small subunit ribosomal RNA", at positions 524 to 776 of the family's 1533-position model. The record is from RNAcentral.
GACAGAGGGUGCGAGCGUUGUCCGGAAUCACUGGGCGUAAAGGGCGCGUAGGUGGCUUGCUAAGCGUGUGGUGAAAGCCCGGGGCUCAACCCCGGGUCGGCCGUGCGAACUGGUGAGCUGGAGCACUGUAGAGGCAGGCGGAAUUCCGGGUGUAGCGGUGGAAUGCGUAGAGAUCCGGAAGAACACCGGUGGCGAAGGCGGCCUGCUGGGCAGUUGCUGACACUGAGGCGCGACAGCGUGGGGAGCAAACAGG